GUAAGGACAUGUGGAGCGCUUAGAAGUGAGAAUGCCGGUGUGAGUAGUGAAAGACGGGUGAGAAUCCCGUCCACCGAUUGACUAAGGUUUCCAGAGGAAGGCUCGUCCGCUCUGGGUUAGUCGGGUCCUAAGCUGAGGCCGACAGGCGUAGGCGAUGGAUAACAGGUUGAUAUUCCUGUACCACCUAUAAUCGUUUUAAUCGAUGGGGGGACGCAGUAGGAUAGGCGAAGCGUGCGAUUGGAUUGCACGUCUAAGCAGUAAGGCUGAGUAUUAGGCAAAUCCGGUACUCGUUAAGGCUGAGCUGUGAUGGGGAGAAGACAUUGUGUCUUCGAGUCGUUGAUUUCACACUGCCGAGAAAAGCCUCUAGAUAGAAAAUAGGUGCCCGUACCGCAAACCGACACAGGUAGUCAAGAUGAGAAUUCUAAGGUGAGCGAGCGAACUCUCGUUAAGGAACUCGGCAAAAUGACCCCGUAACUUCGGGAGAAGGGGUGCUCUUUAGGGUUAACGCCCAGAAGAGCCGCAGUGAAUAGGCCCAAGCGACUGUUUAUCAAAAACACAGGUCUCUGCUAAACCGUAAGGUGAUGUAUAGGGGCUGACGCCUGCCCGGUGCUGGAAGGUUAAGAGGAGUGGUUAGCUUCUGCGAAGCUACGAAUCGAAGCCCCAGUAAACGGCGGCCGUAACUAUAACGGUCCUAAGGUAGCGAAAUUCCUUGUCGGGUAAGUUCCGACCCGCACGAAAGGCGUAACGAUUUGGGCACUGUCUCAACGAGAGACUCGGUGAAAUCAUAGUACCUGUGAAGAUGCAGGUUACCCGCGACAGGACGGAAAGACCCCGUGGAGCUUUACUGUAGCCUGAUAUUGAAAUUCGGCACAGCUUGUACAGGAUAGGUAGGAGCCUUUGAAACGUGAGCGCUAGCUUACGUGGAGGCGCUGGUGGGAUACUACCCUAGCUGUGUUGGCUUUCUAACCCGCACCAAUUAUCGUGGUGGGAGACAGUGUCAG
This 1001-nucleotide ribosomal RNA is filed under the name Staphylococcus aureus. RNAcentral describes it as "partial 23S ribosomal RNA". It matches the Rfam family "Bacterial large subunit ribosomal RNA", at positions 1263 to 2260 of the family's 2925-position model. The record is from RNAcentral. Lineage: Bacteria; Bacillati; Bacillota; Bacilli; Caryophanales; Staphylococcaceae.